RNAcentral lists this long non-coding RNA (6285 nucleotides) under Homo sapiens (human). Its description in RNAcentral is "novel transcript". The record is from RNAcentral. Lineage: Eukaryota; Metazoa; Chordata; Mammalia; Primates; Hominidae.
GUACCGCAAGCGCAGGAAGCGCUUCAGGAACACUUGGCAGUGGUAGAGCGCCAGCACGUACUGCAGCGCCAGGUCCAGCGCCCCUGGCGCCACCGCGACCCCCGCCCCGCCGCCCAGGCUGAGUAGUAGCGCCUGGCCCGCUAGGGUCUGCAGCCCCACGUGGGCCGAGGGGUAGAGGAGGAAAUUGAAGACGAAGGCGUUGGGACAGCGCCGCUGCUGCAGGAUGGUGUUUCCCUUCCUGUUUGCUGAUCCACUGGGGCUGUCCCAGAAAGAGAACUACAACGCUACUCUUUCCCAUGCCUUGCUUGUCCACAGCUUUUUCUUUGGUCUUUUGGAACACUUAUUUUGGGGGAAGCAAACUCCAUGUAAGUAGUGCAAGCCCAAGACUUCAUGCUGUGAGGAAGCCCAAGGUAGCUACAGGAAGAGAAGCAGAUGCCUGAAGCUUCUGGCUGUUCAUCUAUUCAAGCCCAGGUACCAGAUUUGAAUGAAGAAGCUGUCAGAGGACUUUAUCCUCAGCUGCUCUGUGGCUGAAACUCUAUGAAGGACUCCAAGCUGAACAUACCAUCUGCAGAACCAUGGGUGAUGAAAAAGCACCCAUAGGAUAUUGAAAGUUAUCAGGAUAUUCUUCCCACUCCAAGAUCCAGGAAAGUAACACAUCAAUACAGGACAAGGAGAUGCUUCAACAUCAGAAAUGCAUGGGAGAGUACUUCCGGAAGACCUGAAAUGCUGCCUUAAAAUAGAAAGGAUUGUUGAGCUGAAGACUAGAAGCAGCAGAUGCAAGAAAGUUCUCUGCUUUACCUCUAUUUGCCUAAAAACAGGAUAUCGAUUUAUAAAGACAAAAUGUGCCCCAGCCCCACUUCUAUCAGGGAGAAAAACAGUUAACCAGUGAGGACGACUUAGGACCUUUACUGGCCUGGAGAUGGUACCAGAGGAGUUUAUAUUAACAAACUUGACUAACUAGCCUUUAUCUGUCAUUAUUUGUCUUUCCCCAAGAUGCUAUCCUAUAGAAGCUCAAAGUUAUUUUCCUUUGUAUUGUCACUUCUCUAAAAAUUUACUGUUCUUUGUUGAAGAUGCUGUAUAAGCUGGAUUUCCAAGCUGCCUCUUUCAGAAUUAUUCAUUCCCUGGUGCCUCACAUGUAUAUAUGUAAUAUAUGUAUUAAUAAAUCUUGUUUGUUUUUCUCUUAUUAUUCUGUUUUUUGUUAGGGGGCUGUUCCAUCUAAGAACAUAUGGGGGUUAUUCUUCCCCUACACUCUUAUUCUUCCAUAUUUGCAUAUAUCAAAAUCUUUGUUCAUUGUUGUGGAAUUGAUUUUUUUCUUUCAUGUAUAUCUUCCAAGUUUAUUAACAAACAAUAACAAAGCUUUUCUUUCAGCUGAUACUUCUGUCCUUAAGAAAUCUAAGACAAAAGUUAAAGUUAGAUAAAGGAAGAUUUGCUGUCAUAGUAAGUGUGGCAGCAUGAUGGGGAAAUCAGAGUUUCUUCCUAAGUAAAAGUAUGGAUGAGCCCCUAAAAUCCCAAAGAAAAAGCUGCAGGGCAGCUGGGAGGAACACUGGGAGGGCAGGGUAAUUGCCAACAAUAAAGCAGGUGAAUGUUUUUAUGCUAACCAAAAAUAGUGCUUCCCAAACUUUUCCACACCUUAGAAACAUCUCGGGAGCUUUUUAAAUAUCCCAAUGCCCGGUCUCAUUCAAUACCAAUUAUAUGAGAACAUCUGGGGUAGAAGGCUGGUAUUAGUAUCUUUUUAAAGUAUACUAGGUGACUCCAAAGUGCAGCAUAAUUUGGGAACUGCUAUUCUGUAAUAAGAUUCUUUAAAAAUACUGACUGUAUUAUUUUGACUACACUCCAUAUAUUAAUAGUUUAUAUUUACACUGGCUCUUUAAUUUUCCUUAUCCAGGCUAAGGAAAACUUUUGAGGCUGAAGAUUAUGAUCAGGCACAUUGCAGUGAGGUGGCUUCAAUGAACCCUGACUGUUGCUUUUGUUUUUCCUUCCUUAUUUGAAUAGCCUUAAGCUACUUAUUUGAACUGAUUGUCCUAAACGCGAAUGUUUUUGCAUGAUUUCCUCCCUGCUCAAAUUGUCUGAUUUGGUUCUACCUCUUGUAAUCCUUGCAAAAGUGACUAAAGUCCAGGGACAUGCUUGUGGAGUGACUUCCUCCACUUGGUGUCAUUCAAUUAGGUAAAGAUUACCAACAGCAACUGCUUCUAUCCUUUGCAAUUUACUCACAGUAGCUACCUCAUAUGCUUCAUUUACAUGAAGUUAUUUUGUUUACCAACCUCUGGCGUAGGUCCCCAAGUCUUAAUGCACACUUUAAGUGUCCUAAAUAGACAAAACAACUGUUUCCUUGAGGUGGCAUUAGAUAACGUAAUGGUAAAGCUCUUCAAGAGUGUUUCUUAAAGUUCCUGCUCAUUUGCACUUCCAAGUUUUUAUUAGAUUUCAAAGCAUCAUGCAUUUACAUAUAUCAAUUUCUAAGUACUAUGAAGUAGUUUAUUAAAUUGAAUUUCUCUGAUGUUUCCUGUCUCAGUUAUAUGCCAAUUUCAAAACAAAAUAUUAACUCAAAAUUUGAUAAUUUGAUAUUAUCCAAAUAUUCAUCCUUACCUGUAUAUUAAUAAUGUCCAUUAAAUUUAUAUAUAUAUAGUCUAUUGAAUAGCAACAUUCUAAAGAUAUUCCCAUCUUAGUUAUAAUUAGUUCAUCAAAAAGGUUGUAUUAGAAUUAUUUUUUGGCUAUCAUUCACAUACCUGAUUAUUUACAGGAAGGAUUUGAAUGACAAAUACAGCAAUAUCCAGAGACAUACAGUGAGGAAGGUGUGAUGUAGAUAGAAGAAAGAAGAGAGCCAUACUAAAAAACACUGGCCUUGAAAAGCAAAGAGCAAUUAACAGGGGAAGAGAAUUAUUCAAUUUUCAGAACUUAAAAAAAAAUACACAAAAUCCUCUGAAUUUUGUGGUAGUCAAAUUAAAAGAGAAGUGACAUAAAAUCAUAAUAAUCUCAUUAGAUAUUAAAAGGAAGCAUGCCAACUCACUACAAAGGCCAACAUUUUUGCUGAUUCUGAUGUCUACAUGAUGUGCUGAGUCUGAUGUCUAAGAGAGAUGUCAUCAUAUAAAGUAUGUUUAAUCGUAUUAUUACAUAUGUAGAAAAUCAUUCAUACAACCAUGUUUAUAUAGCCAUUCCUUAUACUGACCAUUAAUGUAAAUCAGUAAUAAAAGAUUAAAUCACAAUUGUUCCAUGGCAGUUAGAAUGCACUGUAAAGCAACUCGUAUAGCUGUCUAGUAUUUUUACAUUAUGUCCAGAUAAAACUCAGAGAACUCCGUUCUAAAGAGAAACAUUUUACCAUGUCUCAUAGGCUAUUUUUUAUAGUAAAUGAUUUCAGACUAAUUCUCUCAUCUUUUUUACAACGUAGAGUUUGUGUGUUUGUUUGUUUUCUUUUGCUACAAAAUAACCAUGACCAUAUUUGUAGUUAGUAGAGAAGUCACACACAUAAAUGAAUCUUGUAUAUAGUACAGUGGCCAUAUUUAUUCACCAAGAUAAGAUUGAUAUAAUAUGUAACAAUAAAAAUAACAGUUGGGUUAAUGCACACUUCUUUAUUGUUGCAGUUAGCAAAUAAUGCAAUGAGCAGCUAAAGGAGGAAGAGAAUUAUUCAAUUUUCAGAAUCUGAAAAAGAAAUACAUUUAGUCAAAUGCGGUUUUGUAUGGACUCAUGUCUUAAAGGUACAACCAAGUCUUCUCUUCCCUGGGCUGACUUAUAAUUUGUUUAUUUAUUAGAGUUUAUAAUUGAGGGUAAUCAUGGUAUUUAUCACUCAAACUGACACUUUGUGGACUGAAAAGGGUCUUCUAUUAAUUAUGAGGCCAGGAAAAUAGAUAUAACUUGGGACUGUCCUGGAAAAAAGGAAUGCAGAUUGUGAACACAGAAAAAUUAAUUUGCUUUCAAUUGAUCAGCUAUUUAAAGAAAGCUUUUUGGUGUCUACGGCUUCUUUCUGAAGUGUUUAAUUUACAGAUGGUUCAAUUAGAGCUCUGUUGCAAAAUUUUGGACCUAAGAGAAUGUUCACACUCUCAGCUUUAUAUGCCAGGAUGCCCUUUCCUGGAUUAUUUUCAUCCUUCAGUUCACAGCGGAAUUAUCAUCUUCUUACAUAAGCUUCUUCUGCUCUAUUUAAAGUAAUCCUACAAUUUGAGCUCCAAAAUAAAUAAGGAGAGCACUCCUCUUUCCAAGAAUGUAAACAAAUAAAUGUAGAAGGGGUGGUAUAGUUAGAAAAGUACCAUUCUAAAAUCAUUGUACUAAUAAUUAAUUUAGGUAAUAAUCAUCAGUGGAAGCCAAAACCAUUUGAUGAGAGUUGGUUAGCAGUAAAAUAUUUACAUAGUCUCACAGAUUGUCUGCACAGAACAGUUAAUAAUUACACAGGAAAAAAAUUACUGCAGUUAAACAAAAUCUGGGCAGUAUCCAUUUAACCAAGUGAUCAAAGUUAAUAUCAUCGAAAAAUGAGAAAAACUAUUAUAUGAUUCAUGAUUUGACACACUGAGGACACAGUAUUACUUAUGUAAUAUUUAUUUUAAAAUACCUAAUUCAAAUCUAACCAUUACAAAACAAACCCAGGUUGAAGACAAUCUCUUCAAAAAUGUCAAUGGCACAAAAGACAACGAAAGUCUAAGGAAUAGUUCAAGAUUAAAGGAUACUAAAGACACUGUACAACUAAAUUCAAUGCAUGAUCCUAAAGAAAAAAAAUUCUAUAAAGGACAUUAUUGAAACAGUUAUCAUAUGAACUCUUUGCUAGAUCAUAAUAUUAUAUCAAAGGUAAAAUUCCUGAAAUUUGAAAUUAUAGUGUGAUUAAGAGAACGCCUUUUUUUCUUAGGGGAUACAUGCUGAAGUAUGUAAUGAUGAAGGAUUAUGAUCUCUUACUUUCAAUGGUUUAAAAACCUACUCUCAGUGUUUCAUAAACACGAAUAAAAAUAAUACAUUAGUCUGCUCAGGCGGCCAUAACAAAUACCAUAGGCUAGGUGGCUGAAGAAAUAGAAAUUUAGAUCUGGAGGCUAGAAAUCUGAGGGCAGGAUGCUAGCAUAGUCAGGCUCUGGUGAAGGCUUUCUUCUUGGAGUGCAGAGAGCCACAUGCUCACUAUGUCCUCAUAUGGUAGAGGCAGAGCUUUGGUGUUUCUCUUUUUAAUAAAGAUACUAAUAUCACCAUGAAAGCCCCACCUGCAUGACUUUAUCAAAAUCUAAUUACCUUCUAGAGGCCCCAUGUCUAAAUACCAUCACAUUGGGGGUUAUGAGGAGGGGCACAAUUAAAUUAGUAUCAAAUAACUAUCAUAGUAUUUAAGUUUAAUAUAUGUUUAAAGAUAUUUAAACAUAUAUGUGUAUAUUUUAUAUAUAUAUACACACACAGAGAGAGAACAGGAGAGGAGAAGAGUGGGGAGAACAGGAAAAGAGAGGGAAGAGAAGGAGAGAGGAGAGGAGAGGAGAGGACUCAGUAGGAGUCCUCUUGCUACUGAGAAGAGGAGUAGAAGCGACAACAAUGUGACUGAUAUGGUUUGGCUAUGUCCUCACCCAAAUCUCAUCUUGAAUUGUAGCUCCCAUAAUCUUCAAGUGUCAUGAGAGGGACUCGGUGGGAGGAAAUUGAAUUAUGAGGGCAUGAUUUUCCCAUUUUGUUCUUGUGAGAGUGAGUAAGUCUCACAGGAUAUGAUGGUUUUAUAAAGGGUGGUUCCCCUGCAUAUGCUCUCUUUUCUGCCACCAUGUAAGAUGUGCCUUUGCUCCCCCUUCAUCUUCUGCCAUGAUUGUGAGGCCUCCCCAGCCAUGUGGAACUGUGAGUCCAUUAAACCUCUUUUUCUUUAUAAACUACCCAGUCUCAAGUAUUUCUUCACAGAGUAUGAAAAUGAAUGAAUACAGUAAAUUGAUACGCAGAGAGUGGGGUGCUGCUGUAAAGACAUGCAAAAAUGUGGAAGUGACUUUGUAACUGGGUAACAAUUAGAGACUGAAACAGUUUGGGUGGGUGCUCAGAAGAAGAUAAGAAAAUGUGGGAAAGUUUGGAACUUCCUAGAGACUUGUUGAAUGGCUUUGACCCACAUGCUGAUAGUGAUAUGAACAACAAAGUCCAGGCUGAAGUGGUCUCCAUGUAAGACCUUGCCACCAUGUAAGACGUGCCUUUGCUCCUCCUUCACCUUCUGCCAUGAUUGUGAUUCCUCCCCUGCCAUGUAGAAUUGUAAACCCACUAAGCCUAUUUUUCUUUAUAAAUUACCCAGUCUCAGGUAUUUCUUCAUAGUGGUAUGAAAAUGGACUAAUACAGUGACAAAAUAUUAACAAUGUGGAAAUAUAGGUGAAU